AUUGAACGCUGGCGGCAGGCUUAACACAUGCAAGUCGAGCGGGGGAAGGUAGCUUGCUACCGGACCUAGCGGCGGACGGGUGAGUAAUGCUUAGGAAUCUGCCUAUUAGUGGGGGACAACAUCUCGAAAGGGAUGCUAAUACCGCAUACGUCCUACGGGAGAAAGCAGGGGAUCUUCGGACCUUGCGCUAAUAGAUGAGCCUAAGUCGGAUUAGCUAGUUGGUGGGGUAAAGGCCUACCAAGGCGACGAUCUGUAGCGGGUCUGAGAGGAUUAUCCGCCAGACUGGGACUGAGAAACGGCCCAGACUCCUACGGGAGGCAGCAGUGGGGAAUAUUGGACAAUGGGGGGAACCCUGAUCCAGCCAUGCCGCGUGUGUGGAGAAGGCCUUAUGGUUGUAAAGCACUUUAAGCGAGGAGGAGGCUACUCUAGUUAAUACCUAGGGAUAGUGGACGUUACUCGCAGAAUAAGCACCGGCUAACUCUGUGCCAGCCGCCGCCGUAA
RNAcentral lists this ribosomal RNA (501 nucleotides) under uncultured bacterium. RNAcentral's name for it is "partial 16S ribosomal RNA". It matches the Rfam family "Bacterial small subunit ribosomal RNA", at positions 30 to 523 of the family's 1533-position model. The record is from RNAcentral.